CCUGAUGGCUCAGAUGGUAAAGCGUCUGCCUACAAUGCAGGAGACCCGGGUUUGAUCCCUGGGUCAGGA
This 69-nucleotide transfer RNA is filed under the name Capra hircus (goat). It matches the Rfam family "tRNA". From Rfam's summary of the family: Transfer RNA (tRNA) molecules are approximately 80 nucleotides in length. Their secondary structure includes four short double-helical elements and three loops (D, anti-codon, and T loops). Further hydrogen bonds mediate the characteristic L-shaped molecular structure. tRNAs have two regions of fundamental functional importance: the anti-codon, which is responsible for specific mRNA codon recognition, and the 3' end, to which the tRNAs corresponding amino acid is attached (by aminoacyl-tRNA synthetases). tRNAs cope with the degeneracy of the genetic code in two manners: having more than one tRNA (with a specific anti-codon) for a particular amino acid; and 'wobble' base-pairing, i.e. permitting non-standard base-pairing at the 3rd anti-codon position. RNAcentral also lists the same sequence under 1 other name. Lineage: Eukaryota; Metazoa; Chordata; Mammalia; Artiodactyla; Bovidae. The record is from Rfam by way of RNAcentral.